UGCAUGGCCCGUCGCCAGCUCGUGCCGUGAGAUGUCCUGUUAAGUCAGGUAACGAGCGAGAUCCCCUGCCNCUAGUUGCUAUCAUUAUUCUCAGGAAUAGUGGAGCGAAUUAGUGGGACUGCCGUUGUUAAAACGGAGGAAGGAAGGGGCUACGGCAGGUCAGUAUGCCCCGAAACUCUGGGGCCACACGCGGGCUGCAAUGGUAGUGACAAUGAGUUCCAAACUCGAAAGAGAGUGGCAAUCUCUAAACGCUACCACAGUUAUGACUGAGGGCUGUAACUCGCCCUCACGAAUAUGGAAUCCCUAGUAACCGCGUGUCAUUACCGCGCGGUGAAUACGUCCCUGCUCCUUGCACACACCGCCCGUCGUUUCAUCGAAGUUUGCUUUAGC
RNAcentral lists this ribosomal RNA (390 nucleotides) under uncultured archaeon. RNAcentral describes it as "bacterial SSU rRNA". It matches the Rfam family "Archaeal small subunit ribosomal RNA", at positions 991 to 1377 of the family's 1478-position model. The record is from RNAcentral.